GAUGAACGCUGGCGGCGUGCCUAAUACAUGCAAGUCGAGCGAACGGACGAGAAGCUUGCUUCUCUGAUGUUAGCGGCGGACGGGUGAGUAACACGUGGAUAACCUACCUAUAAGACUGGGAUAACUUCGGGAAACCGGAGCUAAUACCGGAUAAUAUUUUGAACCGCAUGGUUCAAAAGUGAAAGACGGUCUUGCUGUCACUUAUAGAUGGAUCCGCGCUGCAUUAGCUAGUUGGUAAGGUAACGGCUUACCAAGGCAACGAUGCAUAGCCGACCUGAGAGGGUGAUCGGCCACACUGGAACUGAGACACGGUCCAGACUCCUACGGGAGGCAGCAGUAGGGAAUCUUCCGCAAUGGGCGAAAGCCUGACGGAGCAACGCCGCGUGAGUGAUGAAGGUCUUCGGAUCGUAAAACUCUGUUAUUAGGGAAGAACAUAUGUGUAAGUAACUGUGCACAUCUUGACGGUACCUAAUCAGAAAGCCACGGCUAACUACGUGCCAGCAGCCGCGGUAAUACGUAGGUGGCAAGCGUUAUCCGGAAUUAUUGGGCGUAAAGCGCGCGUAGGCGGUUUUUUAGUCUGAUGUGAAAGCCCACGGCUCAACCGGUGGAGGGUCAUUGGAAACUGGAAAACUUGAGUGCAGAAGAGGAAAGUGGAAUUCCAUGUGUAGCGGUGAAAUGCGCAGAGAUAUGGAGGAACACCAGUGGCGAAGGCGACUUUCUGGUCUGUAACUGACGCUGAUGUGCGAAAGCGUGGGGAUCAAACAGGAUUAGAUACCCUGGUAGUCCACGCCGUAAACGAUGAGUGCUAAGUGUUAGGGGGUUUCCGCCCCUUAGUGCUGCAGCUAACGCAUUAAGCACUCCGCCUGGGGAGUACGACCGCAAGGUUGAAACUCAAAGGAAUUGACGGGGACCCGCACAAGCGGUGGAGCAUGUGGUUUAAUUCGAAGCAACGCGAAGAACCUUACCAAAUCUUGACAUCCUUUGACAACUCUAGAGAUAGAGCCUUCCCCUUCGGGGGACAAAGUGACAGGUGGUGCAUGGUUGUCGUCAGCUCGUGUCGUGAGAUGUUGGGUUAAGUCCCGCAACGAGCGCAACCCUUAAGCUUAGUUGCCAUCAUUAAGUUGGGCACUCUAAGUUGACUGCCGGUGACAAACCGGAGGAAGGUGGGGAUGACGUCAAAUCAUCAUGCCCCUUAUGAUUUGGGCUACACACGUGCUACAAUGGACAAUACAAAGGGCAGCGAAACCGCGAGGUCAAGCAAAUCCCAUAAAGUUGUUCUCAGUUCGGAUUGUAGUCUGCAACUCGACUACAUGAAGCUGGAAUCGCUAGUAAUCGUAGAUCAGCAUGCUACGGUGAAUACGUUCCCGGGUCU
RNAcentral lists this ribosomal RNA (1372 nucleotides) under uncultured bacterium. Its description in RNAcentral is "bacterial SSU rRNA". It matches the Rfam family "Bacterial small subunit ribosomal RNA", at positions 28 to 1381 of the family's 1533-position model. The record is from RNAcentral.